This 277-nucleotide ribosomal RNA is filed under the name uncultured bacterium. Its description in RNAcentral is "partial 16S ribosomal RNA". The record is from RNAcentral.
CUGCUGCCUUCCGUAGGAGUCUGGUCCGUGUCUCAGUACCAGUGUGGGGGACCUUCCUCUCAGAACCCCUACGCAUCGUCGGUUAGGUGGGCCGUUACCCCGCCUACUGCCUAAUGCGCCGCAUGCCCAUCCCUGUCCGGCCGAAGCCUUUCCUGCCUCCGGGAUGCCCCGGUGGCAUGUACGCGGGUUUAGCCCGCCUUUCGGCGGGUUGGUCCCCCUGACAGGGGCAGGUUGCAUACGUGUUACUCACCCGUGCGCCGGUCGCCGGCGGAGAAAG